Molecule: ribosomal RNA, 1451 nt
Filed under: uncultured organism
Description: SSU rRNA
Rfam family: Bacterial small subunit ribosomal RNA
Source: RNAcentral
GAUGAACGCUAGCUACAGGCUUAACACAUGCAAGUCGAGGGGCAUCAGGAAGAAAGCUUGCUUUCUUUGCUGGCGACCGGCGCACGGGUGAGUAACACGUAUCCAACCUGCCCUUUACUCGGGGAUAGCCUUUCGAAAGAAAGAUUAAUACCCGAUAGCAUAAUGAUUCCGCAUGGUUUCAUUAUUAAAGGAUUCCGGUAAAGGAUGGGGAUGCGUUCCAUUAGGUUGUUGGUGAGGUAACGGCCCACCAAGCCUUCGAUGGAUAGGGGUUCUGAGAGGAAGGUCCCCCACAUUGGAACUGAGACACGGUCCAAACUCCUACGGGAGGCAGCAGUGAGGAAUAUUGGUCAAUGGGCGCUAGCCUGAACCAGCCAAGUAGCGUGAAGGAUGAAGGCUCUAUGGGUCGUAAACUUCUUUUAUAUAAGAAUAAAGUGCAGUAUGUAUACUGUUUUGUAUGUAUUAUAUGAAUAAGGAUCGGCUAACUCCGUGCCAGCAGCCGCGGUAAUACGGAGGAUCCGAGCGUUAUCCGGAUUUAUUGGGUUUAAAGGGAGCGUAGGUGGACUGGUAAGUCAGUUGUGAAAGUUUGCGGCUCAACCGUAAAAUUGCAGUUGAUACUGUCAGUCUUGAGUACAGUAGAGGUGGGCGGAAUUCGUGGUGUAGCGGUGAAAUGCUUAGAUAUCACGAAGAACUCCGAUUGCGAAGGCAGCUCACUGGACUGCAACUGACACUGAUGCUCGAAAGUGUGGGUAUCAAACAGGAUUAGAUACCCUGGUAGUCCACACAGUAAACGAUGAAUACUCGCUGUUUGCGAUAUACAGUAAGCGGCCAAGCGAAAGCAUUAAGUAUUCCACCUGGGGAGUACGCCGGCAACGGUGAAACUCAAAGGAAUUGACGGGGGCCCGCACAAGCGGAGGAACAUGUGGUUUAAUUCGAUGAUACGCGAGGAACCUUACCCGGGCUUAAAUUGCAGUGGAAUGAUGUGGAAACAUGUCAGUGAGCAAUCACCGCUGUGAAGGUGCUGCAUGGUUGUCGUCAGCUCGUGCCGUGAGGUGUCGGCUUAAGUGCCAUAACGAGCGCAACCCUUAUCUUCAGUUACUAACAGGUUAUGCUGAGGACUCUGGAGAGACUGCCGUCGUAAGAUGUGAGGAAGGUGGGGAUGACGUCAAAUCAGCACGGCCCUUACGUCCGGGGCUACACACGUGUUACAAUGGGGGGUACAGAAGGCAGCUACCUGGUGACAGGAUGCUAAUCCCAAAAGCCUCUCUCAGUUCGGAUCGAAGUCUGCAACCCGACUUCGUGAAGCUGGAUUCGCUAGUAAUCGCGCAUCAGCCACGGCGCGGUGAAUACGUUCCCGGGCCUUGUACACACCGCCCGUCAAGCCAUGGGAGCCGGGGGUACCUGAAGUACGUAACCGCAAGGAUCGUCCUAGGGUAAAACUGGUGACUGGGGCU